CCUACGGGAGGCAGCAGUAGGGAAUAUUGCUCAAUGGGGGAAACCCUGAAGCAGCAACGCCGCGUGGAGGAUGAAGGUUUUCGGAUUGUAAACUCCUUUUGUUAGAGAAGAUAAUGACGGUAUCUAACGAAUAAGCACCCGCUAACUCCGUGCCAGCAGCCGCGGUAAUACGGAGGGUGCAAGCGUUACUCGGAAUCACUGGGCGUAAAGAUCUCGUAUGCGGGAUAGCAAGUCAGAUGUGAAAUCCUAUGGAUUAACCAUAGAACUGCAUUGGAAACUUUUAUUCUAGAGUAUGGGAGAGGUAGGUGGAAGUUUUGGUGUAGGGGUAAAAUACGGAGAGAUCAAGAGGAAUACUCAUUGCGAAGGCGACCUGCUAGAACAUAACUGACGCUGAUGCGCGAAAGCGUGGGGAGCAAACAGGAUUAGAUACCCCGAGUAGUC
Molecule: ribosomal RNA, 441 nt
Filed under: uncultured bacterium
Lineage: Bacteria
Description: partial 16S ribosomal RNA
Rfam family: Bacterial small subunit ribosomal RNA
Source: RNAcentral